GACGAACGCUGGCGGCGCGCUUAAUACAUGCAAGUCGAGCGAGAACCAGGGCUUCGGCUCUGGGGACAGCGGCGAACGGGUGAGUAACACGUGGGUAAUCAACCCCCGACACCGGGAUAGCCCAGGGAAACUUGGAUUAAUACCGGAUGCCCCGUCUGGCCUUCGGGCCGGCCGGAAAAGGGUAGCUUCGGCCUCUGGUCGGGGACGAGCCCGCGGCGGAUUAGCUUGUUGGUGAGGUAAAGGCUCACCAAGGCGACGAUCCGUAGCUGGUCUGAGAGGACGAUCAGCCACACUGGGACUGAGACACGGCCCAGACUCCUACGGGAGGCAGCAGUAGGGAAUCUUGCGCAAUGGGCGAAAGCCUGACGCAGCGACGCCGCGUGAGGGAAGAAGGCCUUCGGGUUGUAAACCUCUUUCAGGAGGGACGAAGCCACUCGGGUUAAUAGCCUAGAGGGUGACGGUACCUCCAGAAGAAGCCCCGGCUAACUACGUGCCAGCCGCCGCAGUAA
This 509-nucleotide ribosomal RNA is filed under the name uncultured bacterium. RNAcentral describes it as "partial 16S ribosomal RNA". It matches the Rfam family "Bacterial small subunit ribosomal RNA", at positions 28 to 523 of the family's 1533-position model. The record is from RNAcentral.